RNAcentral lists this ribosomal RNA (756 nucleotides) under uncultured bacterium. RNAcentral's name for it is "bacterial SSU rRNA". It matches the Rfam family "Bacterial small subunit ribosomal RNA", at positions 28 to 776 of the family's 1533-position model. The record is from RNAcentral.
AUUGAACGCUGGCGGCCGGUUUAACACAUGCAAGUCGAACGGUAACGGGUUGAAAGCUUGCUUUCAAUGCUGACGAGUGGCGGACGGGUGAGUAAGGCUUGGGGAUCUGGCUUUUGGAGGGGGAUAACCAUUGGAAACGAUGGCUAAUACCGCAUAGUAUCGAGAGAUGAAAGGGGUGGGAAACCACUUGCCAAGGGAUGAACCCAAGUGAGAUUAGGUAGUUGGUGGGGUAAAGGCCUACCAAGCCGACGAUCUCUAGCUGGUCUGAGAGGAUGGCCAGCCACACUGGGACUGAGACACGGCCCAGACUCCUACGGGAGGCAGCAGUGGGGAAUAUUGCGCAAUGGGGGGAACCCUGACGCAGCCAUGCCGCGUGAAUGAAGAAGGCCUUCGGGUUGUAAAGUUCUUUCGGUGGUGAGGAAGGUGGUAGUGUUAAUAGCGCUAUUGUUUGACGUUAGCCACAGAAGAAGCACCGGCUAACUCCGUGCCAGCAGCCGCGGUAAUACGGAGGGUGCGAGCGUUAAUCGGAAUAACUGGGCGUAAAGGGCACGCAGGCGGGACGUUAAGUGAGAUGUGAAAGCCCCGGGCUUAACCUGGGAACAGCAUUUCAUACUGGCGUACUAGAGUACUUUAGGGAGGGGUAGAAUUCCACGUGUAGCGGUGAAAUGCGUAGAGAUGUGGAGGAAUACCGAAGGCGAAGGCAGCCCCUUGGGAAGAUACUGACGCUCAUGUGCGAAAGCGUGGGGAGCANACAGG